Molecule: ribosomal RNA, 448 nt
Filed under: uncultured bacterium
Lineage: Bacteria
Description: partial 16S ribosomal RNA
Rfam family: Bacterial small subunit ribosomal RNA
Source: RNAcentral
AGCGAACGCUGGCGGCAGGCCUAAAACAUGUAAGUCGAACGCCGUAGCAAUACGGAGUGGCAGACGGGUGAGUAACACGUGGGAGCGUGCCCUUUGGUUCGGAACAACACAGGGAAACUUGUGCUAAUACCGGAUAAGCCCUUACGGGGAAAGAUUUAUCGCCAAAGGAUCGGCCCGCGUCUGAUUAGCUAGUUGGUGGGGUAACGGCCCACCAAGGCUACGAUCAGUAGCUGGUCUGAGAGGAUGAUCAGCCACACUGGGACUGAGACACGGUCCAGACUCCUACGGGAGGCAGCAGUGGGGAAUUUUGGACAAUGGCGCAAGCCUGAUCCAGCAAUGCCGCGUGCAGGAUGAAGGCCCUCGGGUCGUAAACUUCUUUUAUAAGUGAAGAAUAUGACGGUAACUUAUGAAUAAGCACCGGCUAACUUCGUGCCAGCAGCCGCCGUAA